This 1269-nucleotide ribosomal RNA is filed under the name Triticum aestivum (bread wheat). Its description in RNAcentral is "partial small subunit ribosomal RNA". Lineage: Eukaryota; Viridiplantae; Streptophyta; Magnoliopsida; Poales; Poaceae. The record is from RNAcentral.
AUGGGGUUGCUGGCAAUCAAUCGGCUCGUGUCUAUGCAGCCGGAUUGGCGUCGCCGGCCAACUCAAGGCCGCAAUGGAUUGGUGACUUCAUCCGUAGCCAAAAGAAAGGGCUCACCCUGCAGCCUACAUGAUGACAAUUCUGGGAGUGUUAAAAAAUCGAGAUAUUCAGGAUCACCCCUUCCAGAGGAUAUAUGGCAUCAUAUAUAUUCUCUGCUUCCUCUGCGAGAUGCUGCACGUGUUGCCUGCGUGUCUCAUACAUUUAAAAGUUACUGGAGACAUUUUCCCAAUCUCAGCUUAACUAGGGAAACACUGGGUUUGAAUGUCGGGGUGGAUGGAUUGUCAUGUCGAUGUGAAAUAGCGAUGGAUCUUGCAAGGAAAACCGACCACAUUCUCAAAAACCACUCAGGCAUUGGCGUUAAGGCAUUCAAGCUUGAAAUAUGUGGUUUCCCCUUUUUCAACAACUCUUGCGAUCUCGAUCGUUGGCUUCAUAUUGCUGCCAAACCAGGGAUUGAAGAACUUGACCUGAAGCUUUUAUCAACUUAUGUAGCUCUUUGUCCAAAAAAAUCUCAUGCAACUGUUUGUCGAAAGAUAUCUGAGGCGGCUUUUUGUCGAAAAAAAUCCCAUACAAAUGUGUACAACUUUCCAUGCUCACUUUUAGAUGGGAGUGGCAAGUCGAUCCAGCAGCUUCAUCUCAACAGUUGUGCCCUCCGCCCCACGACAGGACUUGGCCGCUUAAGAAGCCUGACUAGUCUCGAAUUUUUUCGUGUGCAUAUUACGGAAGAUGAGUUAAGGUGCCUUUUUUCCAGUUCAAUUGCUUUGGAGAAACUGGUACUGUGGUCCUGCAAUGAAUUAUCUUUCUUGGAGAUACCUAGCCUGUUGCAGCGGCUUAACCACCUGGUUCUCAUGGAUUGUGGAAAUAUGGAAAUGAUAAAGAGCAAAGCCCCUAAUCUAUACAUUUUUCAUUAUGGUGGUACCCUAAUACCGCUAUCACUUGGUGAUUCAUUGCAGAACCUAUGCAUUGAUGCUUUAUUAGGUCGCCAAGACGUUGUUCAUUAUCCUUGGGCCGAUCUUCUGCGCAUGGUGCCACAUCUUGAAGAUCUCGAAAUAUCUUCGUAUUGUGCGAGGGAUACACUGGUGGUGCCUGGCAAAUUCCUCCACCUCCAAUGCCUAUGUAUUGGGGCUUUUAACCCAGACUAUGAUUAUCUAUGCAAUGCAGGUAGAUGCGGGUCGCGUGAGGCAAGAAUCGGUUUUAGGAGAAUCUUCACAUGA